GUAGUUCUUCACUUUUUCAGAGAGUUCGUCAGUGGUCAGUUGAGUAGUGAGGAUUGUGAACAGAUGUCCAAAUACCAGCGCAUCUAAUUCAGUUGGUCUGUGAAAGCAAAGAGAAAUAAGAACAGGUAUUUUGGAAGCCAGGAACUAUUCAACCAAUAAGAAAAGGAGCUCCAGGUGACAGCAGCUGGAAACAUCUCUUUUUUGAAAAUGGACUACACAGAAGAAGACAGGUAUUUUGGGAAACAGUGAUCCAUUAAACAUUUUGAGUCGUCCUACCUUAUACCUUGUACCUUAGGUACAAGCCUUCUGAAUUGUCGUCUUGGACGUCUGUAUGUAAGUAGCCCAUGUGCAAAUAAAAUUUUUUUUCAAUUAUACUAAGUUAUCUUAAUAUAUAAGUUAUAUUCAAUUAUCUUAAGUUAUAUUAAUAUAACUUAAGAGUCCUUCUCUAGUGUUCAAGGUAAGCAGCAUCAGGGGUUUUUAACUGAUAAAUUUUUUGCCUUUCUAUUUGUGGAUCACUAAGAACUCUCCAGCAGAGAUGUGGACCCUCGUAUAACAAACUUCAAUUUGGCAGCACCAGGCUGCCUUUAUUAUUUACCUCCUACAGACUCCCAGAAGUCACAGACUUCCUGAAAAAUACUGGACUAAGAAUACAUACUUCCUUAGUAGCAUUUCAGCUGACAAGCUUAAAGGUUGAAACUUUACCAAGAAAGCCUGGGUAACAAACAACAAAAACAAAAUCCCUGAGUUACAAUUCUUUACAAAUACAGAAAGAAAAAUUAGGAGAUUCUCUGUUAAAGAAUGAUGAGAAGAUGCAAUUAAAAUUAUCUUCUGUAAUACAUAUUUCUGUAUCCACUCAAUUUACACUACCCACCUACUCUCAACUUGGAAAAAUUAAGAGGCAAAGACCCACACAGAAAAGUAACCAAGACCAUAUACUGCCUUUUGAAGACAUCUCCCUGUCCAAACUGAAGUCCAGACCAGAGCAUUUCCAGUCUGGUCUAUGCACAGGAGAAGAGGGAAUUAACGUGAUGUUAUUUAAAUCUAUAACAUUUUAAAAAUAUUGAAUUAUGGUGAGAAAAAAAAAGCUCUUUGCAAUUGGAAGAAACGAGUGAAAGCAGAGACAUCCCAUGAAGGCCACAUUGUUCCUUUUUUCUCCCUGGGAACGUGAAUCUUAGUUUUCACUUUGCAACUGAUCCUAAGUCAUGAAUAGGAAAAAAAAAAACAACAGAAACUUAAAAAAAAAAAAAA
This is a long non-coding RNA of Calidris pugnax (ruff), 1248 nucleotides long. RefSeq lists it as uncharacterized. The transcript is spliced from 2 exons. NCBI's taxonomy places the organism in Eukaryota, Metazoa, Chordata, Aves, Charadriiformes, Scolopacidae. The record is from RefSeq and is a predicted model, not a curated record.